CCUACGGGGGGCAGCAGUGGGGAAUAUUGGGCAAUGGGCGCAAGCCUGACCCAGCAACGCCGCGUGAAGGAAGAAGGCUUUCGGGUUGUAAACUUCUUUUCUGAGGGACGAAGAAAGUGACGGUACCUCAGGAAUAAGCCACGUCUAACUACGUGCCAGCAGCCGCGGUAAUACGUAGGUGGAAAGCGUUAUCCGUAUUUAUGGGGUGUAAAGGGCGUGUAGGCGGGAAAGCAAGUCAGAUGUGAAAACUCAGGGCUCAACCCUGGGCCUGCAUUUGAAACUGUUUUUCUGGAGUGCUGGAGAGGCAAUCGGAAUUCCGUGUGUAGCGGUGAAAUGCGUAGAUAUACGGAGGAAAACCAGUGGCGAAGGCGGAUUGCUGGACAGUAACUGACGCUGAGGCGCGAAAGCGUGGGGAGCAAACAGGAUUAGAUACCCUAGUAGUC
This 443-nucleotide ribosomal RNA is filed under the name uncultured bacterium. Its description in RNAcentral is "partial 16S ribosomal RNA". It matches the Rfam family "Bacterial small subunit ribosomal RNA", at positions 338 to 795 of the family's 1533-position model. The record is from RNAcentral.